RNAcentral lists this ribosomal RNA (533 nucleotides) under Megalospora disjuncta. RNAcentral describes it as "eukaryotic LSU rRNA". It matches the Rfam family "Eukaryotic large subunit ribosomal RNA", at positions 196 to 745 of the family's 3401-position model. Lineage: Eukaryota; Fungi; Ascomycota; Lecanoromycetes; Teloschistales; Megalosporaceae. The record is from RNAcentral.
CGGGGCGUCAUAGAGGGUGAGAAUCCCGUAUGUGACCGGCGAUCAGGCUCAUGUGAAAUUCCUUCGACGAGUCGAGUUGUUUGGGAAUGCAGCUCAAAAUGGGUGGUAAAUUUCAUCUAAAGCUAAAUACCGGCCAGAGACCGAUAGCGCACAAGUAKAGUGAUCGAAAGAUGAAAAGCACUUUGGAAAGAGAGUCAAACAGUACGUGAAAUUGUUGAAAGGGAAGCGCUUGCGACCAGACCUGCUUGCGAGCGAUCAGCCGUCCUUCUGGGCGGUGCACUCGCCCGUAGACAGGCCAGCAUCGGUUUCGGCGGCCGGAUAAAGACCUCGGGAAUGUGGCUUCUCUCGGGGAGUGUUAUAGCCCGUGGCGCAAUGCGGCCCGCCGGGACCGAGGACCGCGCUUCGGCUAGGAUGCUGGCGUAAUGGUCGUAAGCGGCCCGUCUUGAAACACGGACCAAGGAGUCUAACAUCUAUGCGAGUGUUUGGGUGUCAAACCCAUGCGCGGAAUGAAAGUGAACGGAGGUGGGAACCCG